This 379-nucleotide unclassified non-coding RNA is filed under the name uncultured Alphaproteobacteria bacterium. RNAcentral describes it as "contains 16S-23S intergenic spacer region". The record is from RNAcentral. Lineage: Bacteria; Pseudomonadati; Pseudomonadota; Alphaproteobacteria.
UCCGGUUUGUCACCGGCAGUAUCGUUAAAGUGCCCGACUUUACUCGCUGGCAACUAACGACGAGGGUCGCGUUCGUUGCGGGACUUAACCCAACAUCUCACGACACGAACUGACGACAGCCAUGCAGCACCUGUGUGGAACCCAACUAAAUGACUCUCUCCUUUCAGAAAGACGCUGUUCCCAUGCAAAGGUUGGUAAGGUUCUUCGCGUAGCCUCGAAUUAAACCACAUACUCCACCGCUUGUGCGGAUCCCCGUCAAUUCCUUUGAGUUUUAAUCUUGCGACCGUACUCCCCAGGCGGAGGGCUUAACGCGUUAGCUAAGAUACUGAAUGUCUAAAACAUCCAACAUCGAGCCCUCAUCGUUUAGGGCGUGGACUAC